RNAcentral lists this RNase P RNA (375 nucleotides) under Bacteroidota bacterium. RNAcentral describes it as "RNase P RNA component class A". It matches the Rfam family "Bacterial RNase P class A". From Rfam's summary of the family: Ribonuclease P (RNase P) is a ubiquitous endoribonuclease, found in archaea, bacteria and eukarya as well as chloroplasts and mitochondria. Its best characterised activity is the generation of mature 5'-ends of tRNAs by cleaving the 5'-leader elements of precursor-tRNAs. RNAcentral also lists the same sequence under 1 other name. Lineage: Bacteria; Pseudomonadati; Bacteroidota. The record is from RNAcentral.
AUGGCCGGAGGGUUCGUCGCGCGUUCUUCCUGUAAAGGACGUGAGGAAAGUCCGGGCAACGCAGAGCGCCAUAUUUCCUAACGGGAAGCUAUCGGCAACGGUAGAGUAAUGUGACAGAAAAUUACCGCCUCCACUUGUGGAGGUAAGGGUGAAAAGGUGAGGUAAGAGCUCACCGGGCGCAAUGGCAACAUUGCGUGCCGCACAUCUUAUGGGUUGCAAGGUCAAGUAUACCGGCAUCUAAGGGCUGCUCGUCCACUGCCGGGGGGUAGACUGCUCAAGGCUUUUCGGAGCCAGAUAAAUGACGGACGGCAUGGCGCAACUCCCUUCGGGAAAGUACGCAGGCCACAUAACCCGGCUUAUACUCCGACCAUGCCC